AGGGACGUGCCGGUGUCAAACCGGAGGAAGUGGGGAUGACGUCAAGUCCUCAUUGGCCUUUAUGUCUAGGGCUACACACGUACUACAAUGGCCGGUACAAAGGGCAGCCACUCAGCGAUGAGGCGCUAAUCCCAUAAAGCCGGUCUCAGUCCGGAUCGCAGUCUGCAACUCGACUGCGUGAAGUUGGAAUCGCUAGUAAUCGUAGAUCAGCAUGCUACGGUGAAUACGUUCCCGGGCCUU
This 240-nucleotide ribosomal RNA is filed under the name uncultured Desulfovibrio sp. Its description in RNAcentral is "partial 16S ribosomal RNA". It matches the Rfam family "Bacterial small subunit ribosomal RNA", at positions 1144 to 1382 of the family's 1533-position model. The record is from RNAcentral. Lineage: Bacteria; Pseudomonadati; Thermodesulfobacteriota; Desulfovibrionia; Desulfovibrionales; Desulfovibrionaceae.